This 385-nucleotide long non-coding RNA is filed under the name Rattus norvegicus (Norway rat). RNAcentral's name for it is "long non-coding RNA NONRATT014022". Lineage: Eukaryota; Metazoa; Chordata; Mammalia; Rodentia; Muridae. The record is from RNAcentral.
GCACGGGCAGGCUGAGCGUAAAGAGAGGAGGGUUCAUGCCUGUGUAGCAGAGCAGGACGUGGAACUUGGGAGCCACGCCUUCACUUCGGGGCCUGUGGAGAGUGGGCCGGGUCCAGGAGCCCAAGCCUGGGAUGGCUCGCCCCGCCCCAGCCAGCCCAGCCGCCCGCCCUUUCCCACACACCGGCCAGGGGAGGUUGAGAACUGGGCGUGGAAAAGAUACCCUACCUGGUGGCGAGGAAGACUCCACUUCCCGGUCUGCAGCUCGCCCGUCUCUUGCUCAGUGCCGAGCCCUCAGCGUGGACUGGCCUGGCCCUAGGAGUCCCCAUAGACUCUACCUGACAGUGCAGGUGGAGAAUCUAAAGGAAAAGCUCAUUAGCCAGGCCCA